CUACCACAUCCAAGGAAGGCAGCAGGCGCGCAAAUUACCCACUCCCGGAACGGGGAGGUAGUGACGAAAAAUAACAAUACGGGACUCUUUUGAGACCCCGUAAUUGGAAUGAGAACACUUUAAAUCCUUUAACGAGGACCAAUCGGAGGGCAAACCUGGUGCCAGCAGCUGCGAUAAAUCCAGUUCCGAUAGCGUAUAUUAAAGUUGUUGCGGUUAAAAGGCUCGUAGUUGGAUCUCGGUUCCGGACGGGUGGUCCGCCUACCGGCGGUCACUGCCCGUCUGAACGCGCGGCGUCGGUUUCCCCUGAUGAUCUUCAUCGGUUGUCUCGGGUGACCGGCAAGUUUACUUUGAAAAAAUUAGAGUGCUCAAAGCAGGCUCGACGCCUGGACAAUGGUGCAUGGAAUAAUGGAAUAGGACCUCGUUUCUAUUCUGUUGGUCUUCGGAACACGAGGUAAUGAUUAAGAGGGACAGACGGGGGCAUUCGUAUUGCGACGCUAGAGGUGAAAUUCUUGGACCGUCGCAGGACGAACUACUGCGAAAGCAUUUGCCAAGAAUGUUUCCAUUAAUCAAGAACGAAAGUUAGAGGUCCGAAGGCGAUCAGAUACCGCCCUAGUUCUAACCGUAAACGAUGCCAGCUAGCGAUCCGGCUGUGUUCCUCAAAUGACACGCCGGGCAGCUUCCGGGAAACCAAAGCGUUUGGGUUCCGGGGGAAGUAUGGUU
RNAcentral lists this ribosomal RNA (720 nucleotides) under Taphiassa globosa. Its description in RNAcentral is "SSU rRNA". It matches the Rfam family "Eukaryotic small subunit ribosomal RNA", at positions 407 to 1130 of the family's 1831-position model. Lineage: Eukaryota; Metazoa; Arthropoda; Arachnida; Araneae; Mysmenidae. The record is from RNAcentral.